CGGACAGUGUCUGGUGGGUAGUUUGACUGGGGCGGUCUCCUCCUAAAGAGUAACGGAGGAGCACGAAGGUUGGCUAAUCCUGGUCGGACAUCAGGAGGUUAGUGCAAUGGCAUAAGCCAGCUUGACUGCGAGCGUGACGGCGCGAGCAGGUGCGAAAGCAGGUCAUAGUGAUCCGGUGGUUCUGAAUGGAAGGGCCAUCGCUCAACGGAUAAAAGGUACUCCGGGGAUAACAGGCUGAUACCGCCCAAGAGUUCAUAUCGACGGCGGUGUUUGGCACCUCGAUGUCGGCUCAUCACAUCCUGGGGCUGAAGUAGGUCCCAAGGGUAUGGCUGUUCGCCAUUUAAAGUGGUACGCGAGCUGGGUUUAGAACGUCGUGAGACAGUUCGGUCCCUAUCUGCCGUGGGCGCUGGAGAACUGAGGGGGGCUGCUCCUAGUACGA
RNAcentral lists this ribosomal RNA (439 nucleotides) under Escherichia coli. RNAcentral's name for it is "partial 23S ribosomal RNA". It matches the Rfam family "Bacterial large subunit ribosomal RNA", at positions 2248 to 2686 of the family's 2925-position model. Lineage: Bacteria; Pseudomonadati; Pseudomonadota; Gammaproteobacteria; Enterobacterales; Enterobacteriaceae. The record is from RNAcentral.